CCUCCCCAAAGGGAAGCGGCGACUUCCGGGCGGAGCUGGUUGAAGAUGCCCCCUAGAAGUAUGCUGUGUAUUUCCCUCACACAUUUGGAAACAAAGAUUUGUGAAGAGGAGGACUGCUGACCAUGGCAGUUGGAGUGAUGGCCAUCCGAAGACAUCCGUGUCAUUUCUGGAACCCGUGAAUACGUUCAUUUGCUUGGCAAAGGAGAAUUUAGGGCACAGAUGGAUUUAGGAUUGCCAGUGAGUGAGUGGCCUUACGGAGCUCAUCCUGGGUUAUCCAGAGCUCCUGAAAAGUCGGUUCAGACGGCUUCUGCUUGUUUCUUCCGUGUUUCUGUGGGGAGACGAGGGCUUGGAGCUUCCCAGUCUGCCAUCCUGCUGACAUCACUCUGCAGGCGACUUUCAUGACAGGCGGUGAGAGGCAGACUUCAGACUACAAUUCAGUUUUCUUUUUUUUUUUUUUUUGCGGUACGCGGGCCUCUCACUGCCGUGGCCUCUCCCGUUGCGGAGCACAGGCUCCGGACGCGCGGGCCCAGCGGCCAUGGCUCACGGGCCCAGCCGCUCCGCGGCACGUGGGAUCCUCCCGGACCGGGGCGCGAACCCGGUUCCCCUGCAUCGGCAGGCGGACGCGCAACCACUGCGCCACCAGGGAGGCCCCAGUUUUCUUUUUAAUGGUUGAAGCUGUUUAGAUUUUCUAGUUCUUGAAUCGAUUUUGGUAACAUUUUUCUAGAAAUUCUCCGUCUUGCCUAUUUUCAAAUUUACUGGCAUAAAGUUAUUCAUCAUGAGCUCAUGACUUUUAGAUAUCCGUACCGUAUCUGUGGCCCCGAUUUCAUUCUUAGUUUUGUUCAUUGGACUCUUUUCUUUUUCACUAUUUCUAGAAUUUUGACUUUACGUUUUCCUCUCUGCCCCCCACCCAAAGAACUUUUUCUCUCAAAUUUUUUUCUUUGCUUCAAUUUUGUUGAUGUUUGACAUUAUCUUUCUCAUUUCUUUCUCCUACAUUCCUCUGUAUUAAUUUCUUGCUACAUAUUCAUCUUCAAGCAACACAGUUUAAGAAAAAUUGAUUCAAAAAGUACAAAGACGCAAUUUAAUCCAGUGACUUUUCCCUCUUCCUGCAGAUUGGGGAAAGCUUCUUGUGCCUGUGCUUUGACGUGGGCACGCUGACCUCAGCCCAGCUUGUGGGGUGUCGGGGUCCGUCACGCGCAGCCUGAGAACCGCCGUGGUGGUGGGUGCCCGAGCGAGGAGAAGGUGCGGUGACCGAGCAGCACGAGAUCCGACUCCUUACAAACGCAGACUCUCGGCUGGGAGGCGGGCGACCGGGAACUCUGGGUCUGCGGUUCACCGCGUGGCUCUGGCCCAGGAGUUCACAUCCCUCCCUUUGCUCACGUCCAAAAGGAGUAGUUUUCUGUCGACCAUCUCGGAAUUCAUUUUGAGCAGCUUUAGUCUGACAGGGCUGCCGUCACCACACGCUGCCCAUCGUGUGGCCUGAGCAACAGACGUUCUUUUCUCCCGGUCGUCAGCCGGGCGGGUUUCUCCCGAGGCCUCGCUCCUCCUCUGUCCUCACGAGGUCCUUCCUCUGUGUGCGCAUCCCUGGUGUCUCUUCCCCUUAUAAGGUCAUCGGUCCACCUAGAUCAGGGCCGCGCUUGUGACCUCAUUCCACUUUAGUCACCUCUUUAAAGGCCUCGUCUGCACACACAGUCGCAGCCUAAAGCGUGGGGAUGGGACUUCAGCGCAGGACUCUGUGAGGACCGACUCGGUCCACAGCACGAGCUCCGUCACCUGGGCAGUUGGUGCUGAACACUGUAAACCUAACGGGCAACGACAGCGCAAACCUGGGACACAGAGGAGGUGCUCCUAGGAUCCCUGACGGUGUCUCCGUGAUCAGGAAACCCUAGGGCCUGGGGCUGUAACAGACGCCCCGUUCAGAGCGCGUGGGUCUGCGCCAGCCCCGAGUCGGCCCUCGGUGGAGGCGGCCAUCCUGCCAGCGUGCGCGAGGCCCACGCGCUAUCGGCGGUCUUUCCCCCGAGAACGCGGACAUGGGGACACGUUCAAAUCAAAUGCUUUUUUAUAAGUUAUAAGGAAGUCAUGCCGAGGCAAGACUUUUUGUUUUUUUUUUUUUUUUUUUUGGCAAGGCUGUUGAGACUAUUACGUUAUGUUCCCACAAUAGUAUAAAAUGUAUGUUUUAUCACUUGAAUGUAGCCCAGACAAUAAAAGGGCGCCCGAGACUGGAAACGUGCCUUUGAGAAAGGCCAAACCAACCUGCAGUGAUAAGACCAGCGGGGAUAAAAAGAGUGAAAAAUGGUUACAGCUCAGGCGGCUGACCUGCGAUGGAUGCCCAUGGGCCCCUCCGCGCCAGCGGGUACCUCAGACCCCAGGGUCUUGGUCUCUUAAUGUGUAAGAUGGGAACUAUACUCUGUGGGCGUGCGGGGGAAACCAAAGUACUGGAACGUGCUUCCGAAUUUAAGCCGUCUUUUACCAACAUCAGGUGAAGGUGACAUUUUGCUGCCCGGUGCCGGAAAUCUGACUUUUGUUUUCCCGUUUAUUUUCAUACAUAUUCAAGCGCCGCAAGUGUGGUCCUUCUCAAAAAUCGCCAUUCCUCCUCCUGGGUGAAUGAGUCAUCAAGAAUCCUGGCCUAAGUGUGCUGCUGUUUCAGGGAAGACAGACUCUGGGGAAUGCCCUGGGAACACAGUCGGGACUGGUCCAGUGGCUUCGUUAGAAGGCGGCUCGGCGUGUGCGAGCUUCUCCUCGGAGCGAGACCCUGUUAAGGCAGAAUCGUGGACACUGAGAUAUCCGGCAGAGGCCCCCAAGCUGCGUGCAAGGGGGCAUGGGCCUGAUGCUCCCCUCUGAAACCUGUUCCAGUGGCCAGGAACACACAAGAGGCUCUGAAGGGGACCCCCAAUGGCUACUGCAAUCACAGGGCACCUCCCUGUCACCCCCGAGCCCCCCCGGGACACAGGGUCAUCCUGUGCGUGGGUUCCCACCUAAGAUCCACCUUUUCCGACAGGUACGUGACUGUCGCCGCCUUCUUUCCCGGGACGGGUCCGACGAAGACGCUGGCCUGGCGAGGGGUGUGCGCGACCCGAACCCCACACGGCACGAUCAGCUCCCCCAGCUUGGCUCGGGGCGGGCCGCCGGCCGGGGUGGUGAACGUGGUCGGUGGAGCGGCAAACAGGGCUCCCCGGUACCGCCCGGCGGGCGAGAGGCGCUCCUGGCGGCAGAGCUGUGGGCAAAGGCGGGGGGCGGGGUGCUCCACGCCAGUUCAUUGUUCACAACAGGCCGACUGCAAGGCUCACGUCCUUUUUCAGAAGAAGAACAAACUGAAGGUGAGGUCGCACACUCUCGGUGAAUUCGGAGGAUCCGGGGGAGACGAUGCCGUUUAAUGAUAAGGACAGAUAAUGAGCAGUGACGUCUUCUGACGCAGCCUGCAGGCAGAGCUCCAAGCAAACGGAUUUACAGGCCAAAAAAAAAAAAGGCCUUGGAAUUACUGCAAAUUCUAACCCAAAUUGUUGAAAAGUAAUCACCUGUUCAGCUGAGGGAGGAGAAACGGCCUCUGCGUUCUGGGUAACCCAGAGGAACGUGGAGGCAGGGGUCUCGCCGGACACAAGUGCCCCGGGCACCGGGACAGCAGCCUUCGCCCCGGGCUCAGGGUUCCCGGAGCAAGUGACGCCACAGCCCCGGACGGCUGUGGAUCCAGCCUCCUGGUGUCAAGGGUGUAAAUGGCAAAGCACAGAGCAGAAGUCCUAGCUGUGCCCUGACAGGCCAGGUCGGGGAGGGAUGCGCCCUGAUGGAGGGGGGAUGAGUGCGUGGAGACCUUGGGACGGGGUUCAGAGACGGCGCCUUACACUGCCCGCCCUUCUGUGCCGAUAAAGUCACGUCGGCGGCUGGCCAGAGGGACGGGGGGAGGCCCCGCUGUUCUGAACGCUCGGGUCACUGACGCCAGGUUCAUAAAGACUUCUCUAUGUGCAAAUGCCCUCUGGGACAUGCUGCCCGUUAUCUGCCAUCCACACCUGAGAGCUUUAACCCGAUGUUUCCCUGAGGACAGAACCGAACACCUGAGAUCGGCGGCUCAGAGAAACUAAGGAUUUUGACGGGAGGUUUCCACGCUCCUCUCCUUUGGAAGACGACGAUCGUACUGUAACGGCGACAUCAGCAACAACAACAAGCCCCCAAGACCCCACUGCAGCAUCAGGGGAGCUGACUGGAUAGACAAGGCCGUGGACUCCUUCUCUCUUCUCACCCCAGCCUUGAGUUUUGCCAUAAGCUUUGAUACAUUUCACAGCUUCCCUUCGACUUGGGCGAAGACAACACCGAGGCAGAAGAGAUCUGCUUUGGUUAAACGUGACUCGAGCUGCAAGGAGAAACCCACCGUCCGUAAACUCAGUGAAUCCCUGGGCCGCCCUGCCCUGAAGCGGGGGAUAGAGAAUCUUACUAAAGUUGGAUGCAGUCACGCACCCUAAAAACCAGCUGCGGAGGUCGGUAACCGAGACGGUACAGAAAGGAGUACAGUAAGGACACCCAGAAUUCCUGAAGCCACCCGAGGACCCCGGACACCCUGAGAACAACCGAGUGGGAAGAGGGGAAGGCCUGGAUCCUAGGUUUUUGUUUGCAGAAGCCCAAGCAACCAAAUGCUGCAGUUCUCAUGACCCCGCCCCUUGCCAGAGGUGAGGGUUUGCUGUGUAUUUUUCCAGAUUCUGUACAACACACACACACACAUACUUGGGAGACAGUUUUUCCUAAUCAAGGAUAGAUCUUGGUAUACAGAAAAGCAGUAGCUCAAGCCUGUUUUUAACCCAGCAGAAGGACGUAAGUGCGCCUUUCUCAGGUUUAGAAUGUGCCUUCCGAAGCUAAUUUGAUUCUUCCUGCUUCUCCGCCCACACUUAUUGAACACUUGCUGUCUACCAGGCACGUGCAAAGUGCCAGGAAGCAAAGCUGAUUAAGACGCAGUCCCCGACCUCAGUUUAAAGCACGUACUGCAAAAGUCAAUAAAUGAAAAUGCUUCCCUUUAUUUAUUUAUUCAGCUUGAAAUCAGAGGAAGCAAAGAAUUACAAGGAUCUGAUUCUUCACUCAAAAUAAUCGAGACUAGGUGCAUGCUGACUUUCCAAUCCUAAGUAAAAUAAUUUCUGGGGAAGUUUAAUCAAGAUUCAGUUGACUUAAAAUUAAAUUUGGCAAUUUAUGCUCCAAAUACACUCCCCGAUGUAUAUAAGGACAUGUGUGUAUAGGAGUUCAUUGCCAUAGAAAGAGAGAUGAUUGGCAGGUUUUUUAAUAAAUAUAAUAGGACACCUGAUUCUUCUUAUUGCUGAGCUUUAGUUAAAACCUUCCGCUUACCGAAAUGAGUUUAAGUAUGGGAUACUCCCCCAAUACUUCCUUUAUUAUCCUCAGUCCCCGCGCUUUUGCUUCCUGGGUCCUCGUGAUCGAUGGGCCUCAGAUGUACUAGUGCAGCCCACGCUCCGCUCUGAAGGCACAGAGCAUAAAAUUGCUUUGCUACUGCCCUUGACAUUGCCUUAAGGGUUCUGACUGAGGCAGUCAACUUUCCUGUCUAGCAAAGCAUCAUUCCGUCCCCACGGGUACGUUGUAAAAAAUGAGAAUUGUGAGGCUGCAAGCAGCACAGGUUAACAGAGUGGCCGAGAAAGCUCUACAAGGCCCUCUGACAUGUGCCUCCAUCCAGCUUCCCCCCGACAGGCCUGCUUUCACUGCAAGCCUUUUGGUACAACAAUUCAUGGCCAUUUGCUCUAAAUCCUCAUUUCAUUUCAAACUUUUCAACACACACACACCCUCCACCAACUGCCAGAAAAAGGAGUCUGGGCGGGGCAUGCGGGCAUUAUUACAGGGUGGUGGAUGGUGGUGUGUUAUUGUUUCCUUCUAAGGUGACCUCAGAGAUAACCAGGUUUAUCCAUGUUGACUUGGAAGGUUCUGGCUAAAAAUGAUGAAAAGACAAUUUUAAAAAAUCAUAACUCAUAUCAGUGUAAAAUGAACAUUUAAGAUGUGUUCAUUUUAUUUAACUCUGACAGACGCUAUACUGGUUCAAAGGAGAAACAGAUAACACAUUUAUAGAUUAGAAAUACUGAAAUGAAGUUGCAAAUGGACCAAAAUAUUGGCUUUUCCGUGGGGUAGGGGGAUAUUCCCUUCACCAGACAGAAUUCACUUCUAGCCCACAGACAAGAAUCGUGUGCACUGCCAGUAGGUCUUUACGGCCUAGGGUUGUGAAACAGCUCAAAGGCAAUGAAAGCUGGAAUCAGAUAACCUGGGGAUGGUGUGGGGUGCACGGGCUAAGAAGUAGGGUUUUCCAGGGAAGCGCAACUCUUUCCCUACAGAGCCCAGGAUGCUUGUUUAAGGGAGAUCACGGAAGAAAAGAGGAUUAAGUGGAAUUUACUGACAGCUCUGGACUAAAGGAGCCUCCAGAAUAACAGGACAGACGAGGGACCCGAGGCCCAGGAGACGAAGUUCCUUAUCCGGCGUCGCAGCAGAGCUCGCCUGCACUGCCUAAGGUUCAACACCAGCCGGGAGAGAGACAGACACAGGUGUCUAACAGAGAUCAAACCCACUUUCAUCCUUCAUAAAGCCGGCUGGACACCUGGGCCUUAGGCCUGCAGUGCGGUGAGUCUGCUGCCCCUGCCCGGAAGGAGGUACCCACAGGGCCGCAGCUGGCACUGGACCAGCGGCAGGGGCUGUCGGAGCGCCCCGCUCCUCCCUGCAAACCCUCCAGUGUGAGAAGCUGGUCUUCCUCUCGGCGGGGGGGCGGGCAGAGAAGGGGAGGCGGCACGAGACCAUGGGAACACAUGGGGCUCCUCUCUGACACCCACCCAGAAGGCAAAUCUCUGAAACAGUGACCUGAGUGGCUCUCACUGUAGCUCCCCCAGGCAAUCGGCUCGGCCCCAGUGAAACCGCUAGCUCUGGAGGACACAUCUCGGAGCACAGAUCCUAGUGCUGUUUCAAAGUAGAAAAAGGUAGACCCAAAGGCAACUGUUUGGAAACACAAAAUAUAGUUAGAAGUUUCACCUUCUAAAAAUGUCACUCCCUGGUGGCGCAGUGGCUGAGAAUCCGCCUGCCAGUGCAGGGGACGCGGGUUCGAGCCCUGGUCCGGGAAGAUCCCACAUGCCACGGAGCAACUAAGCCCGUGCGCCACAACUACUGAGCCUGCGCUCUAGAGCCCACGAGCCACAACUACUGAAGCCCGCAUGUCUAGAGAGCCCGUGCUCUGCAACAGGAGAAGCCAUCACAGUGAGAAGCCCGCACACUGCAAUGAAGACCCAAUGCCGACAAAAAUAAAAAUUAAAAAAAAAAUAAUAAAAAUGUCAGUGCCUAAACUUGACCACAUCAGGGGGACUGAAUAGAUCACAGGGAAAGUGAGCUGCCUGUGCCAGAGAAAGAACAAAUGAUGUCCGGCUGUGGCCCUGCGAAAUUUUUACAAAGCUAAGGAAACAAAUGGAACACACCUUUAACUAUUCUGAUAUUUGCCUAAGUCAGUCCCAUAAAAAUAAAUAAAGACAAGGUCUUCAAAUGAGGAAAACAUAAUGAUCCCUAAAAUGCUGCUUAAAUCCCCACAAUUUUCCAUGUAAACCUGUCCUUGC
This is a long non-coding RNA of Physeter macrocephalus (sperm whale), 7559 nucleotides long. RefSeq lists it as uncharacterized. The record is from RefSeq and is a predicted model, not a curated record. The transcript is spliced from 11 exons. Lineage: Eukaryota; Metazoa; Chordata; Mammalia; Artiodactyla; Physeteridae.